UACGGAGGAUCCAAGCGUUAUCCGGAUUCAUUGGGUUUAAAGGGUGCGUAGGCGGAAUAGUAAGUCAGUGGUGAAAGCCUGCAGCUUAACUGCAGAAUUGCCAUUGAUACUGCUAAUCUUGAGUACAUUUGAAGUGGGCGGAAUGUGUCGUGUAGCGGUGAAAUGCUUAGAUAUGACACAGAACACCGAUUGCGAAGGCAGCUCACUAAACUGUAACUGACGCUGAGGCACGAAAGCGUGGGGAUCAAACAGG
Molecule: ribosomal RNA, 253 nt
Filed under: uncultured bacterium
Lineage: Bacteria
Description: partial 16S ribosomal RNA
Rfam family: Bacterial small subunit ribosomal RNA
Source: RNAcentral